UACAGAGGGGGCGAGCGUUGUUCGGAAUUACUGGGCGUAAAGGGCGCGUAGGCGGCCAACUAAGUCAGACGUGAAAUCCCUCGGCUCAACCGGGGAACUGCGUCCGAUACUGGUUGGCUUGAGUUUGGGAGAGGGAUGCGGAAUUCCAGGUGUAGCGGUGAAAUGCGUAGAUAUCGGGAGGAACACCGGUGGCGAAGGCGGCCCCCUGGUUGGAUACUGACGCUGAGACGCGAAAGCGUGGGGAGCAAACAGG
Molecule: ribosomal RNA, 253 nt
Filed under: uncultured bacterium
Lineage: Bacteria
Description: partial 16S ribosomal RNA
Rfam family: Bacterial small subunit ribosomal RNA
Source: RNAcentral